RNAcentral lists this non-coding RNA (46 nucleotides) under Trichobilharzia regenti. The record is from RNAcentral. Lineage: Eukaryota; Metazoa; Platyhelminthes; Trematoda; Strigeidida; Schistosomatidae.
GCACUGCUGAGGAGUCCCAAACUAGGACGAAACAGCUGUCCAGUAC